Molecule: long non-coding RNA, 918 nt
Filed under: Zalophus californianus (California sea lion)
Lineage: Eukaryota; Metazoa; Chordata; Mammalia; Carnivora; Otariidae
Description: lncRNA (ENSZCAG00015006807.1)
Source: RNAcentral
GUCAGAUGUGGGGGUUGCCCGCGAGAGGGCCGUUCCUGGGCGAUCAUUUAUCAAUGUCACCCACAUAAUGAUUCUCUCUGCAGCCUCCUAUUGAUGAGGAUAAUUACAUUAGCUCAGAGUGACUGAUCAAUGAAAAACCACCACACAAAAACUUCUUUACUCCUCUAUAAUACCAAAAACCGAUACAGAAAUAACAUAGAAAGCCUGAUUUUCUCUCCCUUUCCUAUCCACCAAUAGAUUCUGCCCCCCCUCCCCCCAAAAGGACUGGGAGUAAAGUAAGAAAAUAGACCCAGGUUUGUUUCGUUUAAAGGAGGAUGCAAUUUUGUCCGUGAAUGCAUUUUCUCAGAAUGCAUUGGCUUCAUUCCUCCUUUGCUAAAGAAUAUCAACGGAUUUGUUAAUAGAACCUAGUCCAGGGACAUCCAGUGUGUCAGAUCAAAUCCCAGCAACAAAGCUGCGUGAAAACUGCAAAGUCGGUCUCCAAGCUCAGAGCGGCUCGGCUGUCUCGUCCACAUAUAACAUCAGAGCGCCCCCUGCUGGCGAGCGGAGUCGACCGCUACGGGUCGGCCCCCUGCAAAGCAAAUCGUGUUUUUCGGCGUCCCCCGCCGCCCCCCCCCCCCGCCCCAUCACACUGACUCCCUUCCACCACCCCCCACCUCGGUUCUGCAGCAAAACCCCGCGGCAGAGGAAUAGCUUGCUAAGGCUGAACAUUUAAAUGAAUAAAUGAUAAAAAAAUAAAGUACGAAGGAACCCCAACCUUCACUGGCCUCCGGGGAAUAAACUAUCAAGUGACUAGGAAAGGGACACAUUUUCUUUCUCUAAUUCUUUUCUCCUCUGAGUUUUCGCUGUGAUUUGUUUGUUUCUGCCAAACUGUAGAUUCGAGUCUAAGGAAAUGUUUUUAAUAGAUGUUGUAUAAGUUUU